GUAUUUGACAACAGGGCCGUGGGCUCCAGCUGGCUUGGUGGGAGGAGGAGGAGUCCCCUGCAGAUGCUCCACGACCUGGACCAGAUGCUGAGAGAGCAGAAGCCCAUGGCUCAGCAGCAACACACCAGUCACCGUCAUCCUCUGGAUUUUGACUUCUGUCAGAGACCUGCUGCCUCAUGGCUUUGAGAUGACUGCCAGGGCUCCAGACAGCUACACAUAGGACAGUACCCAAGCAGAAAGGAAGGGGGUGGGGCAAAGGGUUUUUUCCUUCCAGAGACUUUACUUUUUGUCCUGAAGGAAAGUCUUUCCUGGGAGCCAUCCUGCAGACCUCCCCUCACAUCUACCUGGCCAGAAGCAGGCCACAUGCCCGAUUCUGGACCCAGUGCUUUCAUGAAGGUGUGUGAGGUUGCUGUGACAGGUUCUUCCCUGAGGCUGGACACACAGCCUAACACAACUGUGGUCUGCUGGCAAGGAGGAGGGUGACAGACACAGGAGUGGCCAAAUGUUUCUGCCAGAAGAUGGGUGGGUGGUUUGGAUGGUGAAAGCAAAUCUUGGCCGUGGGGCCCCUGGACACAGCCUGCUCCGGGAACCCAGGCAGAGCCAGGCUUCCAUGGCCAAACCUUGAGUCAGUGCCUCAGAGGUGGGAGCAGGACUCUGAUGUUCCCAGGCCUCCUACAACCCUAGCUGGAUGUAGCAGCGCCCAUGACGUUACGUGGAAGAGUAAUUCGGGCAUGUGGCUGUGCUUCCUGCCUGGCCCUGCGGAGCGUUCACGGCUCCAACAUGACUUCUGAUACUUAGUCAAAAUCUCUUCUACAACCAUGUAGGUCCUCGUUUUCCUCUGCUUAAACUUUUCAUUUUGGAAAAUCAAACAUGCACAGAAGUAGUGAGAAUAAACGAACCUCGAUGUUCCCCAUCCAGUCUGAAUGGUGACCAGCUCUCCAGUCUUGUCCCAUCAGACCCUCUCCCCCCAACUCCUACCUGGCAUUAUUUUGAAGCAAAUCCCAGCUGUGCUGAUUUUGUGACUAUUCUGGUACAGAUCUCAGAGACUCCUUGCAACCUGUCCUUUUUGAAACAUUUUUUAUACCUUUCCCCACCCUUUUAAACCCGGUGUGUAACAUGUCAAAUUCUAUUC
Molecule: long non-coding RNA, 1132 nt
Filed under: Sus scrofa (pig)
Lineage: Eukaryota; Metazoa; Chordata; Mammalia; Artiodactyla; Suidae
Description: lncRNA (ENSSSCG00005038197.1)
Source: RNAcentral